UAUUGGACAAUGGGGGGAACCCUGAUCCAGCGACGCCGCGUGAGUGAAGAAGUAUUUCGGUAUGUAAAGCUCUAUCAGCAGGGAAGAAAGAAAUGACGGUACCCGACUAAGAAGCCCCGGCCAACUACGUCCCAGCAGCCGCGGUAAUACGUAGGGGGCAAGCGUUAUCCGGAUUUACUGGGUGUAAAGGGAGCGUAGACGGCGAUGCAAGUCUGAAGUGAAAGGCGGGGGCCCAACCCCCGGACUGCUUUGGAAACUGUGCUGCUGGAGUGCAGGAGAGGUAAGUGGAAUUCCUAGUGUAGCGGUGAAAUGCGUAGAUAUUAGGAGGAACACCAGUGGCGAAGGCGGCUUACUGGACUGUAACUGACGUUGAGGCUCGAAAGCGCGGGGAGCAAACAG
RNAcentral lists this ribosomal RNA (399 nucleotides) under uncultured bacterium. Its description in RNAcentral is "bacterial SSU rRNA". It matches the Rfam family "Bacterial small subunit ribosomal RNA", at positions 362 to 775 of the family's 1533-position model. The record is from RNAcentral.